AGAGUUUGAUCAUGGCUCAGGAUGAACGCUAGCGGCAGGCCUAAUACAUGCAAGUCGAACGGGUGUCCUUCGGGGCACCAGUGGCGCACGGGUGCGUAACGCGUAUGCAACCUACCUAUCACUGGGGGGAUAGCCUCCCGAAAGGGAGAUUAAUACCGCAUAACACAGCUUGAGGGCAUCUGAGGGCUGUUAAAGAUUUAUCGGUGGUAGAUGGGCAUGCGUGCCAUUAGCUAGUUGGCGGGGUAACGGCCCACCAAGGCUACGAUGGCUAGGGGUUCUGAGAGGACGGUCCCCCACACUGGCACUGAGAUACGGGCCAGACUCCUACGGGAGGCAGCAGUAGGGAAUAUUGGGCAAUGGGCGGAAGCCUGACCCAGCCAUGCCGCGUGCAGGAUGAAGGCCUUCUGGGUUGUAAACUGCUUUUACAGGGGAAGAAAACACCCAUGCGUGGGGAACUGACGGUACCCUGGGAAUAAGCACCGGCUAACUCCGUGCCAGCAGCCGCGGUAAUACGGAGGGUGCAAGCGUUGUCCGGAUUUAUUGGGUUUAAAGGGUGCGUAGGCGGCCCCUUAAGUCAGCGGUGAAAGCCCGGGGCUCAACCCCGGAACCGCCGUUGAUACUGGGGGGCUUGAGUACAGACGAGGUUGGCGGAAUUGAGGGUGUAGCGGAAAUGCUUAGAUACCCUCAAGAACACCGAUUGCGUAGGCAGCUAACUAGGCUGUAACUGACGCUGAGGCACGAAAGCGUGGGGAGCGAACAGGAUUAGAUACCCUAGUAGUCC
Molecule: ribosomal RNA, 781 nt
Filed under: uncultured bacterium
Lineage: Bacteria
Description: bacterial SSU rRNA
Rfam family: Bacterial small subunit ribosomal RNA
Source: RNAcentral